ACAACAAUUCGGACCGUCGGUCUACCGAGCAAAAUCACCCGCUCGGUGAAAAAUCUCGUCUUUGCCAU
This 68-nucleotide microRNA precursor is filed under the name Bombyx mori (domestic silkworm). Its description in RNAcentral is "mir-2774 microRNA precursor family". It matches the Rfam family "mir-2774 microRNA precursor family". The record is from Rfam by way of RNAcentral. Lineage: Eukaryota; Metazoa; Arthropoda; Insecta; Lepidoptera; Bombycidae.